RNAcentral lists this long non-coding RNA (7687 nucleotides) under Triticum aestivum (bread wheat). RNAcentral describes it as "long non-coding RNA (TAES_LNC010531)". Lineage: Eukaryota; Viridiplantae; Streptophyta; Magnoliopsida; Poales; Poaceae. The record is from RNAcentral.
AACGGAGGAAAUGGCCAUGCACAGCACACCACACCGCAGUGCACCUACCUAGGGUCGGUCCUCUACCUACCAACCCCCCCACUUUAACGCUAAUCUCCAACAGAAAAAAGGCCAAAGGCGACGGAGGCUGGACUCACUGGACUGGAAGCCACCCGGCCGGCCUCCUCCUCCUCCUCCUCAGUAGCCCUCACUCUCCCACACUGCUCACUGGUUGGUCGACGAUGAUAAAAACCUCCACACGAUAGGAAUCUCAAGCCAUCCUCCUCCUCCUCCUCCUCCCGGCAGUUUCCUCCACGGCUCCACCACCCCGAGCCCAAGCCAACCGAGCAAAGCGCACGCCAAAGCGAGGGGCUUUGCCUCGAAUCCUGGGCGAGCCGAGCCACGAGCCCCACCACCACUGCUUUCGCCUUUCCGUUCAUUCCAAGAACCGGCGUACGUACAUGGAGCCGGCGGCGGCGGACGGGGCCUCGGACGAGCCGGUGCACAAGGGGCGGACCAACUCCAUCCUGCUCCCCAUCCUCGCCGUGCUCCUCGCCUACCUGCUCUACCGCUACCUCCGCCCGCGCCUCCGCGGCCUGCGCCUCGACCGCCUCCCGUUCCGCGUCCCGGACUGCCUCCGCCGCCGCGGCAAUGCCACCCGGACCACCCUGCUGCCCUACUUCGCGCCCAUCGCCGACCGCCUCGGCGCGCUGCAGCCCUACCUCGGCCCCAUCGCCGACCGCCUCGGGGUCGGCGGCCCGCACGGCCACGGCGGCGGGUACGGCGGCGCCGACGCGCUCGUCAGGUUCCCCGGCGGCGAGGGCCUGUCGGUGGCCGCCAUCCUCGAGGCGCCUGGGGAGGUGGUGGCCAAGUCGUCGCACAGCACGCUCUACCGCGCCGCCAUGCGCUCCGGGGAGACGGCCGUGCUGCUCCGGUUCGUGCGGCCCGCGUGCGCCGUGGGCGCCGACGAGGCCGCCGCCGCCGCGCGCCGGAUCGGCGCCGUCAGCCACCCGAACCUCGUGCCGCUCCGCGCCGUGUACGUCGGGCCCAGGGGCGAGAAGCUGCUCGUGCACCCUUCUACGCCGCCGGCUCGCUCCACCGAUUCUUGCAAGGUCAGUGCAUGCGCAUCACUCACUCUUGCUUUGGUCGACAUGUUCAUCCUGAUUCGUACAAAUGCACAAUUUUGCUACGUCAAAAGUGCACAUGAGCCCACACCGCAAAUGAAACUUUUUCUUAAUUCUAUUUGUUGCGACGAGAUCACACAUGAAACAUUAUGCAAUUACAUUUCGUCACAAAGGGAAAAGCAUGGCGUGGUUGCGAAGCGAGUUCGAAGACUCCAAAAAGGCAGAUCAGCAGCUUUCACUAAACAAAAAUCAUUUGGGCCAUCAGUUUCAACUUUCUUUUUCGAUAAUCAGUAUCAACUUUUGAGGCAAUGUGGAAUGUGUUACACAGUUUGGUUAUGGUACAGAGUCCAUUUCUUAUUUCCAGUUCAUGUUCGCUGGUUCUUAUUAUUAUUGCCUACUGCGGCCAGGCAGGAAACAUUUCUCUGCUUUGGUUGUUAGCCUGAGACCUCACAUGACACUGUCCUGAAGCAAUGGUCCUGGCCAUUAAUGUUACAUAAGGUCAUUAGAUCACCCUUCACAAUCGUGAUCAUUGGGGCACACAAUCAGUCCAGUGUGUUGCUCAGUUAAAACAGUGGUUAGUGCUGUAUAGUCGUCUGUCAAACAGUAGUGAACAUAGUCAUUGUUGUGCCUUAAUUGAAGGCACAUGCACACAUGUGCAGUCUUUUCAAGCCAAAACCAUGCAUUCAUAAUAUUGGCAUUUGUUGUGAUGGUAGCUGAUGAUAGUCUGCCUGUGUGCUGCCAUUUUCACAGAGGGGAUCGCCGACUCGCAGAGAUGGAGCCUGAUCUGCAAGCUCUCCGUGUGCAUCGCCAAGGGGCUCGACCACCUGCACACGGGGAUGGAGAAGCCGAUCAUCCACGGCAACCUCAAGACGAGCAACAUCCUCCUCGACGCCAGCUACGAGUGCAGGAUCUCGGACUACGGCCUCUACCUCCUGCUCAACACCGGCGGCGCCCACGAGAUGCUGGAGGCGUCGGCGGCGCAGGGGUACAAGGCGCCGGAGCUGGUCAAGAUGAGGGACGCCACCAGGGAGAGCGACGUGUACAGCCUGGGCGUGGUGCUGCUGGAGAUGCUCGCGCAGAAGGAGCCCGCCGGCGACGACGACCGCGCGCCCAGCUCCCGCGACAUCUUCCUGCCGGCGUCGUUCAAGAACCUGGUGCUCGAGAGGAAGAUCUCCGACGCCUUCAGCUCCGACCUCGUCAGGCAGAGCAGGAAGUCGGGGAACGAGAAGAAGCUGAACGCGUUCUUCGAGCUGGCCACGGCGUGCUGCAGCCCUUCGCCGUCGCUCCGGCCCAACACCAAGGAGAUACUCAGAAGGCUUGAGGAGAUAGCAAAAUAAUUAACUAAAUGUGGGUAGGUUCACCAUUCAGACGUAGCACGAGGCAAGGCUCAAGGAACGACUGAACCUCUGCUGGACGGAAAAUUGGAGAAUGGAGGCACACGGUUCAGAUAUCAUGGAAUGUGUAUAGUCAGAGUGUAAGCGCGGUGGAGGCCAUCGUCUCAAGAAUAUACUCAUUGUACGUAAUUUAUUUUCUUGUGCUUUGCUUGAAACCGACCAUGUACAAAGUGUUGAAAGAGUGGGGACGGCGUAUGCUGCAUGUUCAUGCAUCAAAAUCGCCAUGUCGAUGUAACCUUGGUCUGAUCUGAGUGUUAUAUCAGAUAUGAUUGGUAGGAGCAUUUGCUGUGCAGCUUGUGAUGUUCCCGGUGCAUGUGCGGUUGUUCUACUUGUACGCACUGACAAGGGCCGGCAGGGAGUGAUUCUCUCCAAGGGAAUUAUGCCCAGCGUUGCCUGAUUUCGGUCUCUGCACAGUCAUGCUGUCCUUAACAGUGGCUAGAUUCCGAAAUAGUAAGAAAUUAAGAUUCGGAACUUUUGGUUGUAGCUAGAUUGCUCAGCGGCAUGGCCUCAAAAACAGGUCACCAUCCACCACCUUCUCUUUCGCCGACACCAAAAGCGUAGCGUCCGUAACACACGGGCCUACAGUCUGCUGAUUUAUUUCGUAACCUGCAAAUGAAUCGCCUAUUCACUAUCCCACGUCAACAAAUGAUCAUCCUGUGCUAGCUUAAGCUUACCAAACGAUCUUCGGCUUGACGCCAGAAAAACUUACUGAUCAUCUCGAGUCUCCUUGUCCCUGAAUUAUCGUAAUGAGACGGAACAUGAAAGGCAUGUGUCAUGGCCUCCGCUGGCCGAGUGAUUAUCAGGUGGGUGAGGCCUUGGUUUGUGCCACCGGUUAGCCGCGGCGUCUCUCUCGCAGCGCAGGGAAAGCGGCAGCACGUGAAGCGCCAACGAACCCACCGAGAAAACUUGGAGCAAGCCUCCAAGCCUCCAAGCCGGGACCGCCUCUCGUCGUCCUCCAACUCCGCGGCCCCCUAAUGGUAGAUCUUGUGGGCACGUACAUACGUCCGUAGGCCGUAGCGUAGAUCAAAUGCCCCUGCGCGCGCUCAGGCCGGCCGGCCGGUCCGGUCCGGUGCACGGACGCCUGCGCUCGCCGUGCCGUAUCAUCAAUUUGCUAAUGCACAUGUCCCUUGGUCACAAAUCUUACGAUGUGUACUGUCGACGCGUUUUUACUGCCUCUGGCCCGUUGCCGACGCCGACGCCGAUGCCAUGGCCGUGCGCCGUGGUCCUCGCCCGUCCAUUCGCGGCUACUACAGUUGUGCGCGCCGUCCGUCGUGUAGCGUCUUGUGGGCAUGCGGCGUGCACCGUGUUUAACUUGGUAAGCUAAGCCGCACACGGCGAAGUGUUCGGGUCGGUGGGAGGCGGGUCACCGUACCUACCUAUGCGUCGACAUGUACCCGGUGUACGUACGUGCCGGGCCGCGACGGCGAUGGCUGGGGAGAGGAGAUGGUGGUGGAUUGGUGGUGGCGGUGGUUGCGCGUGGCUGGCGCGGCGGAGUAGGAGUGGUAGGGCGUCGGGGCGGUACCACGCGGAUUGGGUGCGCGUGCACGGCGCCGAGCGCAGGGGGCUGCGUGGCCGGAUGAUAGAUGCGUCGCACGCAGGCGCAGGCAUGUGGGCGUCAUGUGGUAGGGAGUUGGCUGUGGGUGCUACUACUGGGUGAGAUAAGGCUCUGAUAAGAUGUGAUUUGGCUACUGCCGCUCGCGAUUCGCUGCUGCGCUGUCUACUCAUUGCGAGAGUUGGUGCUUGUCACUGAAUGUGAAUGGUACCGUACCGGAGUUAAAUCAAGUGAAAGCAGCAAGUACCACUGCCGGUGCCGGGGUUUAUUUAUGUUGGGUUGCACUGCGGCGCUGCAAUCAUCGCUCUUCCGUGCGGCUUCAUUCGUUCCUUUGCUGGGGCCGGGGGAAACGGGUUGGCCUUGGCCGUCGCCGGCCGAAUGCAAUAUGGCAUCGCGACCCAAAGCUUUUGCUGCGGUAUUGCCGACUUGCAAGUUAAGUUUUUUUUUUUAAUGAACGAGCAAGCUCGGUUGAGAUCCUUGCCUUUUCAACCUUGAACAGCGGUAUUUGUUUUGAUAGAGUAUUUUUCAUUAAUUCAUAUUGAAACACAAGCAGAUGUACAAAAUACAACGAGCACACAGCCAGCCACUACACGACUAGGAUGCACACAACCAAUACACACACAAAGAUAUUCAUCACAAGAUCAAAACUAUGCCUAGGUCAAAUGGAAAAGAAAGAGAAAAGAAAAGGAGAAAGGACUUCGCCGAAGCAGUAGAAACAACCAUUGAUGUGGCAUGCCCUACUGCAAACAUGACUAGUACACAAGUCAUGGUGAGUACGUCGGUCAAUGACAAGCGGUUGCAGGCAACUUCGGCAGUCGUCGACAAAGGGGUGCGAACGGAGGAUAUUACGAAUGAGGCAGCGACAAUGCAUGUGGACGAGGCGGAUGUCGGAAAGAAAGUUGUUGAUGUGAGUUGUAAUUAUGUAAGGACAUGAGGAUUAUAUUGUAAAAGAACAAAAAUCUAAAUGAAGGGAGGUGAGAAGGGGAUCGGUAGAAGACCCCAGAUUUUUCCCCAAUGUCUCCUCUCCUUCAUGAACCCUAGUUCACAAAUCCAUGAGUGACAAGAUGGUAUCAGGGCGGGACGAAUCCUGUGUGGUUCUCCUGUGAUUUCGAUUGAUUUUGGUCGUCGGUGCGGUGCGGUGCUGUGUCGCUCCUAUUGUUGGAGGUGCUUCUGCUGCUGGCUUUGUUGUAGGUGUCGGGAAGCGACCUCGAUUCUGCCUGAAUCAAGUACAACCGGGGAGGCUCCUGCAGCUACCAGUUGAAUUGAAUAGAGCCUGGGCGUCUAGACUCCCUCCCCCGCUACAAGCUAAUUUUUUCUCUCCUGCCAUCCGGCGCCGUGAGCAGGUCUAGUUCGUCCCCAACUUGACUCUCGGACUCCUUGAGCUUCUGUGUUUUUUAUUGCUUUAGAAGAAGAAUCAGUGUUGCCUGGAGCUGCUUUGGUGGUCAGCUGGCCGGAUUAAAUAAUACUAUUUGCUAGUGUUGCAAUCCGAAGUAAUUGCCGUACUCUUUGGCACAUUGUUGAGCCGUACUAGUUGGUUCCUCUUUGUGCUGCACGUAUUUGAUAAGAAGAACCAAGUACUAGUGUUGGAAUAUAUUCUUGCUCACUGAACCAUGGGAGAUCCAAGUACAGAAAAACAGGGGAUUCUAGUGUUGAUAAGAUGUAUGAAAUAUUUAGCAAACUGCUUAAGCACCAGCAGGCUGCUGAGCCAGUUAAGCAUACACUUGAGCCAAAUCCAGUCAAACUAUCAGGACCUGGUGACUACAUCAGUUGGGCACGCCAUGCCAAAUUGAUUUUGAGCGCCAAUGAGUAUGAUUAUUUACUUGUUGGGAGUGAAGAAAGUUUGGAGAAAGGCGGUGCGGGCAGGAAACAAAUCAAUGAUAAAGUACUAGUAUGGCUGUUGGAAAGUAUGGAACCAAAAAUAAGAGAACAAGUGGAAGGCAUGGACACUGUUUGUGAGGUCCGGUCAUCUUUGAAGAAACAAUUUGCAGGGAAAACAAAUAAAAUGCAAGCCACCCAUAUCAUGCAUGAGUUAACUAAUUUGAAGCAGCGCUCAAGAUCUGUAACAGAGUAUCCAGGUGAAGUAAAAAAAUUAUAUAGAAACUUACAUUAUCAUCACCCUUUUGAACCUGUUGACAAGGAUGACUUGGCAAUUCAUCAUGUGUGGUUUGAGUCGUUUGUGAGCAAGCUCUUUCUUGAUGGCCUAGACCAGGAACUAAACCUCCGUCGUCAAUUGAUAUUUGGAAUGCCUGAGUGGCCUAGUCUUGAUGAUAUUAUUUCUAGCAUGAUUGAGGAGGAGACUCGUUUGGCACAACCGAAGGAGGAUGGUCAGGAGCGUGCAGAUGCUCGUGCUGCAUUAUCCAUACAACCUCGCCGUGCUACAAAUUCCUUUGGUAAGGUGGAUAAAAGCAAAUUGCUUUGUGACCAUUGCAAGAGAAAAGGACACACCAAGGAUGAGUGUUUUGAGUUGCAUGGUUAUCCACCUUGGUGGGAUAAAGGGAGAUCUCAGCUAGGGGGAGCUCGGGGUUCAAACAAAAGACAAGCUAAUUACAAUGCAUCUGCAAGGGAACUACAUGUGGUAGAUAUGCAAGCUCUUGAGGAUUUCAAAUCCAAGCUCAAAUUCUCUGAAGGCUCAUCUUCGUCCCAAGGUUCCUCCAAAGUUGAUUCUAGCUUUAAUGCCAUCACCCAAGGUAUGGAAUCCCACCAAGCCCAGUCAAAACCAUGGAUAAUUGAUACUGGAGCUACUAACCACAUGACAGGUGCCUCAAACUUGUUUACUUCAGGCACCUUCCAGUCCAGGCCAGCCAGGGUCCCGGCGACCCUCCUACUCCUACUCCUACCCCUCCCAACUGCCGCUGCCACUGUGCUCACCGAUUCUCAACGGAGGAAAUGGCCAUGCACAGCACACCACACCGCAGUGCACCUACCUAGGGUCGGUCCUCUACCUACCAACCCCCCCACUUUAACGCUAAUCUCCAACAGAAAAAAGGCCAANNNNNNNNNNNNNNNNNNNNNNNNNNNNNNNNNNNNNNNNNNNNNNNNNNNNNNNNNNNNNNNNNNNNNNNNNNNNNNNNNNNNNNNNNNNNNNNNNNNNCGAUUCUCAACGGAGGAAAUGGCCAUGCACAGCACACCACACCGCAGUGCACCUACCUAGGGUCGGUCCUCUACCUACCAACCCCCCCACUUUAACGCUAAUCUCCAACAGAAAAAAGGCCAAAGGCGACGGAGGCUGGACUCACUGGACUGGAAGCCACCCGGCCGGCCUCCUCCUCCUCCUCCUCAGUAGCCCUCACUCUCCCACACUGCUCACUGGUUGGUCGACGAUGAUAAAAACCUCCACACGAUAGGAAUCUCAAGCCAUCCUCCUCCUCCUCCUCCUCCCGGCAGUUUCCUCCACGGCUCCACCACCCCGAGCCCAAGCCAACCGAGCAAAGCGCACGCCAAAGCGAGGGGCUUUGCCUCGAAUCCUGGGCGAGCCGAGCCACGAGCCCCACCACCACUGCUUUCGCCUUUCCGUUCAUUCCAAGAACCGGCGUACGUACAUGGAGCCGGCGGCGGCGGACGGGGCCUCGGACGAGCCGGUGCACAAGGGGCGGACCAACUCCAUCCUGCUCCCCAUCCUCGCCGUGCUCCUCGCCUAC